AGUGAACGCUGGCGGUAGGCCUAACGCAUGCAAAUCGAACGGCAGCACAGUAAGAGCUUGCUCUUACGGGUGGCGAGUGGCGGACGGGUGAGGAAUACAUCGGAAUCUACUUUUUCGUGGGGGAUAACGUAGGGAAACUUACGCUAAUACCGCAUACGACCUACGGGUGAAAGCAGGGGAUCUUCGGACCUUGCGCGAUUGAAUGAGCCGAUGUCGGAUUAGCUAGUUGGCGGGGUAAAGGCCCACCAAGGCGACGAUCCGUAGCUGGUCUGAGAGGAUGAUCAGCCACACUGGAACUGAGACACGGUCCAGACUCCUACGGGAGGCAGCAGUGGGGAAUAUUGGACAAUGGGCGCAAGCCUGAUCCAGCCAUACCGCGUGGGUGAAGAAGGCCUUCGGGUUGUAAAGCCCUUUUGUUGGGAAAGAAAAGCAGCAGGUUAAUACCCCGCUGUUCUGACGGUACCCAAAGAAUAAGCACCGGCUAACUUCGUG
Molecule: ribosomal RNA, 492 nt
Filed under: uncultured bacterium
Lineage: Bacteria
Description: partial 16S ribosomal RNA
Rfam family: Bacterial small subunit ribosomal RNA
Source: RNAcentral